Molecule: ribosomal RNA, 433 nt
Filed under: uncultured bacterium
Lineage: Bacteria
Description: partial 16S ribosomal RNA
Rfam family: Bacterial small subunit ribosomal RNA
Source: RNAcentral
AACGAACGCUGGCGGCAUGCCUAACACAUGCAAGUCGAACGAGACCUUCGGGUCUAGUGGCGCACGGGUGCGUAACGCGGGGGAACCUGCCUUUAGGUUCGGAAUAACUCAGAGAAAUUUGAGCUAAUACCGGAUGAUGUCUUCGGACCAAAGAUUUAUCGCCUUUAGAUGGGCCCGCGUUGGAUUAGCUAGUUGGUGGGGUAAAGGCCUACCAAGGCGACGAUCCAUAGCUGGUCUGAGAGGAUGAUCAGCCACACUGGGACUGAGACACAGCCCAGACUCCUACGGGAGGCGGGAGUGGGGGAUAUUGGACAAUGGGCGAAGGCCUGAUCCAGCAAUGCCGCGUGAGUGAUGAAGGCCUUAGGGUUGUAAAGCUCUUUUACCCGAGAUGAUAAUGACGGUAUCGGAAGAAUAAGCACCGGCUAACUCCGUG